RNAcentral lists this unclassified non-coding RNA (301 nucleotides) under Hevea brasiliensis (rubber tree). The record is from RNAcentral. Lineage: Eukaryota; Viridiplantae; Streptophyta; Magnoliopsida; Malpighiales; Euphorbiaceae.
CCUUGAUUAAAUACAAUGCUGGUAGAUAAAUAAAAAAUCAUUUCUCUAAGCUCCAAGAUAACAAAUUCAAAAGAAAUUGUAGGAGGAGGCGUCCAGUGGGUGGANNNNNNNNNNNGAACCAACGCAACAAGCAUCAACGCGUAGGCGAUUCCUUGAUCUACAGAAGUCCCAUCGCUGGUGGGAGCAGGAGCAGGAGCCUGUGCACGAACAGAGGGGGAGAAAAUAAGGAAAAUAAGAGUGAAGAGGGCAAAAAAUCCGAGGAACGACCUUGAAGAGCCGUAACCUGUCAUUUUUGUAUAUG